AUUGAACGCUAGCUGGAUGCCUUACACAUGCAAGUCGAACGGAGUGGCGAACGGGUGAGUCAUGUAUCGGAACGUGCCCAGUAGCGGGGUAUAACUGCGCGAAAGCGUAGCUAAUACCGCAUACUGUUUGAGCGGCCGAUAUCGGUUUAGCUUGCUGGUGGGGUAACGGCUCGCCAAGGCGACGAUGCGUAGCUGGUUUGAGAGGACGACCAGCCACACUGGAACUGAGACACGGCCCAGACUACUACGGGACGCAGCAGUGGGGAGUUGUGGACAAUGGGGGAAGCCCUGGCCCGGCCAUCCCGCGUAGGCGAUGAAGGCAUUCGGGUUGUAAUGGACUUUUGGCAGGAAAGCGGUACCUUCAGAAUAAGCACCGGCUAACUACGUGCCAGCAGCCGCGGUAAUAC
Molecule: ribosomal RNA, 407 nt
Filed under: uncultured bacterium
Lineage: Bacteria
Description: partial 16S ribosomal RNA
Rfam family: Bacterial small subunit ribosomal RNA
Source: RNAcentral